Molecule: long non-coding RNA, 776 nt
Filed under: Homo sapiens (human)
Lineage: Eukaryota; Metazoa; Chordata; Mammalia; Primates; Hominidae
Description: non-protein coding lnc-TMEM18-17:2
Source: RNAcentral
UAGGCCCCACCUGGGCAGACUAGGCAGAUUGAAGUCACCUGUGCCAGGUGCCAGGUCACCAAACUGAGCUUAAAAUAGUAUAGAAUGGACAUUCUAGAAGUGCAGAUUAGAUCUAAGAUGAAGAACCCAAUGGUUGGCCUUAAUAACUUGUUGAACACAGAAAGGGACAGGACUAAUAAGCCGGAAGACAGAUCAAUAGAAGAUAUCCAUGUUGAAGCAUGGAGAGGAAUUUGGAGAAAAACGUACACGUUCCAUGAAAAACCCAAAUUCCCAAAGCUGACAAAAUAAUACUGAAAAAAUACAAAUAGCUUGAUUCCCAGGGGCCUGAGGGAGUGGAGGGCCCCCACUCCUGGGUGUCAAAUCAAGUGUGGCCUAAAGCUGCCUCCUUACAUAUUUUAAGUUCGGCCUAGAGGUUUCUCUGUACGUGGUGAGCUAUAACCUAAGCGGAGUUGUACACAGACUGUAGCCUAUACUUGCGCCAAUCACCGAGAUUUGGCCACUCAGACGUAGCCGGUUGUUUGAACCCUGUUAAAACUACCUCCACUUAAUGAAUGGUGAAUGUACUUUCUCUUCCUUAUGGUUUCCUGAAUAUCAUUUUCUUUUCUCCACCUUCCUUCUUUGGGAGAAUACAGUAGAUAAUGCAUAGAACAUAGAAAAUAUGUCUUCAUCAGCUUUUUAUGUUGUCAGUAAGACUUUGGUCAACAGUAGGCUAUUCAUAGUUACAUUUUGGGGAAACAAAAAGUUAUAUGUGGAUUUUCAACUGUGUGAAGGCUCAG